Molecule: ribosomal RNA, 254 nt
Filed under: uncultured prokaryote
Description: partial 16S ribosomal RNA
Rfam family: Bacterial small subunit ribosomal RNA
Source: RNAcentral
UACGGAGGAUGCAAGCGUUAUCCGGAUUCAUUGGGUUUAAAGGGUGCGUAGGCGGACUAUUAAGUCAGUGGUGAAAGCCUGCAGCUUAACUGCAGAACUGCCAUUGAUACUGAUAGUCUUGAGUUUGGUUAAGGUAGGCGGAAUGUGUAAUGUAGCGGUGAAAUGCAUAGAUAUCACGAGGAACUCCGAUUGCGCAGGCAGCUUACUAAACUACUACUGACGCUCAGGCACGAAGGCGUGGGGAUCAAACAGGA